CCCUAGUACCUGUGAGUGUGGCAUUAUUUGAAUGUGAGUUAUGAUUGUUGCUUUGUUUUUGUUUAUUCUGUAAGUAUAUUUUGAUUGUUUUAUGUAUGGGUGUCUGUCUGCAUGUAUAUCUAUGCACUGUAAGUAUGUGUGAUGCCCAGGGAGGCCAGAAGAGGCACUGGAUCUCCUGGGACUGGAGCUACAGACAGUUGUAAGCUGCUAUAUGGGUGCUGAGGAAGGAAGCUGGAUCCUCUGAGGAAGCAGCCAGUACUGUUAACCACUAAGCCAUCUCUCCAGGCCUGUUUACUUUCCGUUUUGUAAGAGACUCUCUAAGUUGCCGGGGCUGGCUUUAAAUUCACUCUAUAGCCCAGAUAGGUCUUAGCCUUUCAAUCCUCCUGCCUCAGCAUCUGGAGUGGCUGGGAAGACAGGCCAAGGAGGAGAGAGCAGUGUUGGACAGAAGGAUCCAGAAGACAUGAUCUUGGAGACAAACCAUGGCAGGACACUGCCUUACCAGUAAAGAAGAGAAGACUCAUGGGGGCCACCGGAAGGCUCAGCCAUCUGAGGCAGAUUCCUGUAUACGUCAGGAAGGGAAGGUAUGAUGUGGGGAACUAGAAACACUUCUCAUGGGCGUCACAGAUUCCCCCAUUCUGCUCCCUGCCAACGCCUGAUUCCUCUCUGGCAGCAAAGUGGCAGUACUCCUGGU
This 691-nucleotide long non-coding RNA is filed under the name Rattus norvegicus (Norway rat). RNAcentral describes it as "long non-coding RNA NONRATT033213". Lineage: Eukaryota; Metazoa; Chordata; Mammalia; Rodentia; Muridae. The record is from RNAcentral.